This is a long non-coding RNA of Acanthochromis polyacanthus (spiny chromis), 470 nucleotides long. RefSeq lists it as uncharacterized. NCBI's taxonomy places the organism in Eukaryota, Metazoa, Chordata, Actinopteri, Pomacentridae. The transcript has 5 exons. The record is from RefSeq and is a predicted model, not a curated record.
UGGACAGAACAUGAGUCCAUGUUUUACGGGUUAUGGACAGAACAUGAGUCCAUGUUUUAUAGGUUAUGGACAGAACAUGAGUCCAUGUUUUAUAGGUUAUGGACAGAACAUGAGUCCAUGUUUUAUAGGUUAUGGACAGAACAUGAGUCCAUGUUUUAUAGGUUAUGGACAGAACAUGAGUCCAUGUUUUACGGGUUAUGGACAGAACAUGAGUCCAUGUUUUAUAGGUUAUGGACAGAACAUGAGUCCAUAUUUUACGGGUUAUGGACAGAACAUGAGUCCAUGUUUUACGGGUUAUGGACAGAACAUGAGUCCAUGUUUUAUGGGUUAUGGACAGAACAUGAGUCCAUGUUUUACGGGUUAUGGACAGAACAUGAGUCCAUGUUUUAUGGGUUAUGGACAGAACAUGAGUCCAUGUUUUAUAGGUUAUGGACAGAACAUGAGUCCAUGUUUUAUGGGUUAUGGACAGA